UNUUCACCUUUAGUGUCCUCUACAUUUCUUG
Molecule: non-coding RNA, 31 nt
Filed under: Mus musculus (house mouse)
Lineage: Eukaryota; Metazoa; Chordata; Mammalia; Rodentia; Muridae
Source: RNAcentral